CUGAACUUCUUCACCUAAUGGAUUAACUGAGCUUUUGCUUGGUUCUGGAGAGGCAAAGACAAGGAUGCUUUCUGCCACAUGAUGUCACAGCAAGAAGUUCC
This is a long non-coding RNA of Lemur catta (Ring-tailed lemur), 101 nucleotides long. RefSeq lists it as uncharacterized. The transcript is spliced from 3 exons. The record is from RefSeq and is a predicted model, not a curated record. Lineage: Eukaryota; Metazoa; Chordata; Mammalia; Primates; Lemuridae.